RNAcentral lists this transfer RNA (73 nucleotides) under Paramuricea clavata. It matches the Rfam family "tRNA". Rfam says of the family: Transfer RNA (tRNA) molecules are approximately 80 nucleotides in length. Lineage: Eukaryota; Metazoa; Cnidaria; Anthozoa; Malacalcyonacea; Plexauridae. The record is from Rfam by way of RNAcentral.
GACCGCGUAGCUCAGUUGGAGGAGCAUUGGGCUAGUAUUCCGGGGGUCGUGGGUUCGAGUCCCACCGUGGCCG